This 301-nucleotide ribosomal RNA is filed under the name uncultured bacterium. RNAcentral describes it as "partial 16S ribosomal RNA". It matches the Rfam family "Bacterial small subunit ribosomal RNA", at positions 509 to 807 of the family's 1533-position model. The record is from RNAcentral.
CAGCCGCCACGGGAAUACCGAGGGUGCAAGCGUUAAUCGGAAUUACUGGGCGUAAAGCGCGCGUAGGUGGUUUGUUAAGUUGGAUGUGAAAUCCCCGGGCUCAACCUGGGAACUGCAUCCAAAACUGGCAAGCUAGAGUAUGGUAGAGGGUGGUGGAAUUUCCUGUGUAGCGGUGAAAUGCGUAGAUAUAGGAAGGAACACCAGUGGCGAAGGCGACCACCUGGACUGAUACUGACACUGAGGUGCGAAAGCGUGGGGAGCAAACAGGAUUAGAUACCCGCGUAGUCCCUGUCUCUUAUAC